RNAcentral lists this ribosomal RNA (447 nucleotides) under uncultured bacterium. RNAcentral's name for it is "bacterial SSU rRNA". It matches the Rfam family "Bacterial small subunit ribosomal RNA", at positions 329 to 793 of the family's 1533-position model. The record is from RNAcentral.
GCCCAGACUCCUACGGGAGGCAGCAGUGGGGAAUAUUGCACAAUGGGGGAAACCCUGAUGCAGCGACGCCGCGUGAGCGAAGAAGUAUUUCGGUAUGUAAAGCUCUAUCAGCAGGAAAGAAAAUGACGGUACCUGACUAAGAAGCUCCGGCUAAAUACGUGCCAGCAGCCGCGGUAAUACGUAUGGAGCAAGCGUUAUCCGGAUUUACUGGGUGUAAAGGGAGCGCAGGCGGUCUGGCAAGUCUGAUGUGAAAGGCCGGGGCUCAACCCCGGGACUGCAUUGGAAACUGUCAGACUGGAGUGUCGGAGAGGUAAGCGGAAUUCCUAGUGUAGCGGUGAAAUGCGUAGAUAUUAGGAGGAACACCAGUGGCGAAGGCGGCUUACUGGACGAUGACUGACGCUGAGGCUCGAAAGCGUGGGGAGCAAACAGGAUUAGAUACCCGAGUUU